Molecule: ribosomal RNA, 451 nt
Filed under: uncultured bacterium
Lineage: Bacteria
Description: SSU rRNA
Rfam family: Bacterial small subunit ribosomal RNA
Source: RNAcentral
AGAGCGAACGCUGGCGGCAUGCUUAACACAUGCAAGUCGCACGGGCAGGGGAAACCCUGUCAGUGGCGGACGGGUGAGUAACGCGUAGGUAUCUAUCCUUGGGUGGGGGACAACGGCUGGAAACGGCUGCUAAUACCGCAUGAUGACCGAGGUCUAAAGGCGCAAGUCGCCUGGGGAGGAGCCUGCGUACGAUUAGCUUGUUGGUGGGGUAAAGGCCUACCAAGGCUACGAUCGUUAGCUGGUCUGAGAGGAUGAUCAGCCACAUUGGGACUGAGACACGGCCCAAACUCCUACGGGAGGCAGCAGUGGGGAAUAUUGGACAAUGGGCGCAAGCCUGAUCCAGCAAUGCCGCGUGUGUGAAGAAGGUCUUCGGAUUGUAAAGCACUUUCGACGGGGACGAUGAUGACGGUACCCGUAGAAGAAGCCCGGCUAACUUCGCGCCAGCAGCCGC